This 378-nucleotide ribosomal RNA is filed under the name uncultured bacterium. Its description in RNAcentral is "bacterial SSU rRNA". The stretch from base 1 to 302 matches the Rfam family "Bacterial small subunit ribosomal RNA", at positions 193 to 539 of the family's 1533-position model. The record is from RNAcentral.
UGACGUUGUAAAACGACGGCCAGUGAAUUGUAAUACGACUCACUAUAGGGCGAAUUGGGCCCUCUAGAUGCAUGCUCGAGCGGCCGCCAGUGUGAUGGAUAUCUGCAGAAUUCGGCUUCCUACGGGAGGCAGCAGUGAGGAAUAUUGCGCAAUGGGGGAAACCCUGACGCAGCGACGCCGCGUGUGUGAAGAAGGCCUGCGGGUUGUAAAGCACUUUCAGAGGGGAGGAUAAUGACGUUACCCUCAGAAGAAGCACCGGCUAACUCUGUGCCAGCAGCCGCGGUAAUAAGCCGAAUUCCAGCACACUGGCGGCCGUUACUAGUGGAUCCGAGCUCGGUACCAAGCUUGGCGUAAUCAUGGUCAUAGCUGUUUCCUGUG